AUUGAACGCUGGCGGCAUGCUUUACACAUGCAAGUCGAGCGGCAGCGCGGGCUUCGGCCUGGCGGCGAGUGGCGCACGGGUGAGUAAUGCAUCGGAACGUGCCCAGCUGUGGGGGAUAGCCCGGCGAAAGCCGGAUUAAUACCGCAUACGACCUGAGGGUGAAAGCGGGGGACCGAAAGGCCUCGCGCUAUUGGAGCGGCCGAGGGCGGAUUAGCUAGUUGGUGGGGUAAAGGCUUACCAAGGCGACGAUCCGUAGCUGGUCUGAGAGGACGACCGGCCACACUGGGACUGGGACACGGCCAAGACUCCUACGGGAGGCAGCAGUGGGGAAUUUUGGACAAUGGGGGGAAACCUGAUACAGCCAUGCCGCGUGCGGGAAGAAGGCCUUCGGGUUGUAAACCGCUUUUGUGCGGGAAGAAAUCCUCUGGGCUAAUACCCCGGGGGGAUGACGGUACCGGAAGAAUAAGCACCGGCUAACUACGUG
This 484-nucleotide ribosomal RNA is filed under the name uncultured bacterium. RNAcentral's name for it is "partial 16S ribosomal RNA". It matches the Rfam family "Bacterial small subunit ribosomal RNA", at positions 28 to 507 of the family's 1533-position model. The record is from RNAcentral.